CCGCCUGCGCUCCGGGUCGGAGCCACUCCGGCGCGUGCGCGCGUGGUCUCGGGCCGACCCGAGUGGCCGGGUUCCCUCGGCUCCAGGCCCCCCGCCGCCCCUCCCGCCUCCCAGCCAACCGGUUCCGUUCCUCCCUUUCCUCACGGAAUGGGGCCGGCGCUGCUCGGGGUCGCGCGCCCUGGACCCGGCUCGCGCUCGGUCUCGCGCUGUCAGCCUCUGCCUGGCUCGCGCCGCCUUGCGCUUUCCCUCAGUCAGUGGCGCCGAAGGCUCCGUUAAGCAGCGGCCGCGGUUCCUGUUUCCGUUUCUUCCUCUCCCUUCAGUCGGGGAGUAGCAUCCUCCACUCCGCCACCCCUCCCACUCGCCCGGCGCGGCCAGCUGCAGUGGCUGUGGCGACGGGGGACGGCGCCGACCGCCUCGCUCCCGCCUCGGGUUGCUGCUCUGGCUUAGGCCAUCUGUGACCCUGGUGGUGUUUUCAUUCACUAUAAGUCCUUCCCAUCUUUAUUAACUGAGCAAGUUCAGGAUUAUUGGCUGACUAGAGACUGUCAAAGAGUAUUUUUGUGUUUUGC
RNAcentral lists this long non-coding RNA (566 nucleotides) under Cricetulus griseus (Chinese hamster). RNAcentral describes it as "lncRNA (ENSCGRG00015041152.1)". The record is from RNAcentral. Lineage: Eukaryota; Metazoa; Chordata; Mammalia; Rodentia; Cricetidae.